UCUCCUGGGAAACGGGUGGUAAUGCCGGAUGCUCCAUCACACCGCAUGGUGUGUUGGGAAAGCCUUUGCGGCAUGGGAUGGGGUCGCGUCCUAUCAGCUUGAUGGCGGGGUAACGGCCCACCAUGGCUUCGACGGGUAGCCGGCCUGAGAGGGCGACCGGCCACAUUGGGACUGAGAUACGGCCCAGACUCCUACGGGAGGCAGCAGUGGGGAAUAUUGCACAAUGGGCGCAAGCCUGAUGCAGCGACGCCGCGUGAGGGAUGGAGGCCUUCGGGUUGUAAACCUCUUUUGUUAGGGAGCAAGGCACUUUGUGUUGAGUGUACCUUUCGAAUAAGCACCGGCUAACUACGUGCCAGCAGCCGCGGUAAUACGUAGGGUGCAAGCGUUAUCCGGAAUUAUUGGGCGUAAAGGGCUCGUAGGCGGUUCGUCGCGUCCGGUGUGAAAGUCCAUCGCUUAACGGUGGAUCCGCGCCGGGUACGGGCGGGCUUGAGUGCGGUAGGGGAGACUGGAAUUCCCGGUGUAACGGUGGAAUGUGUAGAUAUC
RNAcentral lists this ribosomal RNA (543 nucleotides) under Bifidobacterium breve. Its description in RNAcentral is "bacterial SSU rRNA". It matches the Rfam family "Bacterial small subunit ribosomal RNA", at positions 146 to 698 of the family's 1533-position model. The record is from RNAcentral. Lineage: Bacteria; Bacillati; Actinomycetota; Actinomycetes; Bifidobacteriales; Bifidobacteriaceae.